Long non-coding RNA from Panicum virgatum (switchgrass), 854 nucleotides. RefSeq lists it as uncharacterized. The record is from RefSeq and is a predicted model, not a curated record. The transcript has 3 exons. NCBI's taxonomy places the organism in Eukaryota, Viridiplantae, Streptophyta, Magnoliopsida, Poales, Poaceae.
UUUUAUCUGCUAGUUGCCUGUUCUUGAUCUCGCAUGUGUAGGAGCUUAAUUUCAUUUUCAAAACUCUUUUUCCAUUUAGUUCUAAAAAAACUCUUUUUCCUUUUCUAUUUUCCAUUCGCACAGAUAGAUCUUGCUGCAAUUGAGAUCGACUACACAUGCAGCUUGCUAUUCCUGCACAGCUAUUUAGAUGCAUAGGUACUUGAAUCUGGACUAUUUUAUUUAUUUACUCUUAGUUUAUCUCACUUCUGCGCUAUCUGAAACAUCAGGAGCUGUUGCAUCUCAGUGUUGGUUUUGGGCCUAAUCUUCCAGGGCGUUGUUGGUGCAGUAAUGAAGCUAACUGCUGGUGCUGGUACCAUGGUGUGGAUAUCUAUCAUCUGGGAAGAUUGGCUAGAAGUAUCUUGUGAUGUGCUGCCUUUUGUUUAGGUGCCAUGGUGCUCGUCGGCAAGCUUGGCUAGGCAUCAGAGGAUUUGAGGUGGACACCAUGAUCUCCACUGAAAGUGCCAUCUUUUGGUAGUACCCAUCACCAUUAGAUGUUUAGGGAAAAAUUUCCCUUGAUCAUCACUUGAUGGAUUUCUCACAGAGAGCAUCGGUUGUACAAUAGAUUCUGAGUUUUAUGAGAGGAUGGUAUAUAUAGUAUAGAGAUUUGUAUAGAUCAUUAUGAAAAUGUAAGUUCGGAGUGGCAGAUAACACAAAUAUGACUCCACCUUGUGUGUUUAUGGUAAUUAUGCACCGGCUCGGAAAAAAUUGUGUGGUGCUUGUAUGCUCGUGGUCCUGAAUCACAUUUUAUGUUGUCUCAUAGGUCCUGAUGUAAAGAACAUUUAGUUUAAUCAAGAGUUGACGCAUUCACCAGCCAA